RNAcentral lists this ribosomal RNA (253 nucleotides) under uncultured bacterium. Its description in RNAcentral is "partial 16S ribosomal RNA". It matches the Rfam family "Bacterial small subunit ribosomal RNA", at positions 524 to 776 of the family's 1533-position model. The record is from RNAcentral.
UACGGGGGGGGCAAGCGUUGUUCGGAAUUACUGGGCGUAAAGGGUUCGUAGGUGGCUGGCUAAGCCAGACGUGAAAUCCCUCAGCUUAACUGGGGAACUGCGUCUGGGACUGGUCGGCUUGAGUGCAGGAGAGGAACGCGGAAUUCCAGGUGUAGCGGUGAAAUGCGUAGAUAUCUGGAGGAACACCGGUGGCGAAGGCGGCGUUCUGGACUGCAACUGACACUGAGGAACGAAAGCCAGGGGAGCAAACGGG